This 468-nucleotide ribosomal RNA is filed under the name uncultured bacterium. Its description in RNAcentral is "partial 16S ribosomal RNA". It matches the Rfam family "Bacterial small subunit ribosomal RNA", at positions 28 to 507 of the family's 1533-position model. The record is from RNAcentral.
GACGAACGCUGGCGGCGUGCUUAACACAUGCAAGUCGAACGGAAAGGCCCUGCUUUUGUGGGGUGCUCGAGUGGCGAACGGGUGAGUAACACGUGAGUAACCUGCCCUUGACUUUGGGAUAACUUCAGGAAACUGGGGCUAAUACCGGAUAGGAGCUCCUGCUGCAUGGUGGGGGUUGGAAAGUUUCGGCGGUUGGGGAUGGACUCGCGGCUUAUCAGCUUGUUGGUGGGGUAGUGGCUUACAAAGGCUUUGACGGGUAGCCGGCCUGGGAGGGUGACCGGCCACCUUGGGACUGAGAUACGGCCCAGACUCCUACGGUAGGCAGCAGUGGGGAAUAUUGCACAAUGGGCGGAAGCCUGAUGCAGCAACGCCGCGUGCGUGAUGCCGGCCUUCGGGUUGUAAACCGCUUUCGCCUGUGACGAAGCGGGAGUGACGGUAAUGGGUAAAGAAGCACCGGCUAACUACGUG